CCCCCUCCCCGGUCCCUUAGCGUCGCUGGCAUUGCUUAGCCUGGGGGCUCAGGGCUCCCGGGUGGCUCCGGCGGCCGCGGGAAAGAGAAGUCGUUUGUAGCCACUCCAGAUUCUGCCUCUGCGCCGGCCUCGGGGGAGCUGGCUGUCUAGGGUCCUCACCGGAAGCGGGUAGCCGCCGCGGUGAACGACCGCCCCCACGCACUACAGUUCCCAGCAUGCCGUUCGAGCACACCUGAAGGCGGAGCCUAUGGGAUCCUCCUCUCCGAUUGGCUACCUCGAGUGUGGCUUGAAAAGCCGCCGACAGUUGUGCGGCUGAGCCUCCGGAGUGGGGUUCUGUAAAUAGCUCGUGUCCAAGCGUUGCAGGGUCUCCUCCGGCCCAGGCGGCCCUAGAACUGACUGUGUUGCUGGGAUGGCCUUGAACUCGUGAUCUUCCGGCCCGCGCUUCUUACCUGCUGGGAUUGGGGAUACGUGACCCCCGACUGGGUUUAUCUGACUACAGUCCCUUGAGAUGGGAGUCAUAAUCCCCGUUUUAGAACCGAAUCAGAGAUUCAGAAAGGCUAAUCAAUCAUGUUCUCUGACUCUCCACUUCACCCCUGGGAGAAAGAAUUGAGGGUUGAGAGGGAAGGCUCCUGGAAGGUCUCUAGCCAGCCAGAGCAUGGCAAACAUGGCUCUGGCAGACCUUACCCUUCUCCCCAUGCCCUCUGUCCUGCUAAAAAACAAUUAGAUUACAUUCCUAAAGCUAGUCACCAAGGUUUAUUUUCUUUUUGGGGGCCAUUUCCUCCUCCUGAGGCUGACUACCAAGGUCCAGCUACCAAAGUAUUGAAGUCCAGUAAUCUAAAGCCCCCCUUUGGCUCACCUAAUUAACAUGGCAGUUAUGUAGCAUCACAUCUGGCCAAGCUUCCCUUUGAAACUGCAGCGUCUGAAGGAGUUGGCCCGUCCUAUCGCUGACCAAUGGCAUCACCAGUGUCCAGGCAGGCACUCUUUCCUCAAGGAGCAUCUGGGACUUUGCUAUACCUGCCUUCCUCCAAGAGGUCUGAUGAAGGAUCUGGUUACCCAGCCUUUGGAAAUUCUGAUGUGUUCUUGUUUAAAAAAACACAAAACCAACCAAUAAAACUUAUUAUUUGGGGA
Molecule: non-coding RNA, 1128 nt
Organism: Peromyscus maniculatus bairdii (prairie deer mouse)
Lineage: Eukaryota; Metazoa; Chordata; Mammalia; Rodentia; Cricetidae
Source: RefSeq, a predicted model, not a curated record